AUACGUAGGGGGCGAGCGUUGUCCGGAAUGAUUGGGCGUAAAGGGCGCGUAGGCGGCCCGGUAAGUCUGGAGUGAAAGUCCUGUUUUUAAGAUGGGAAUUGCUUUGGAUACUGUCGGGCUUGAGUGCAGGAGAGGUAAGUGGAAUUCCCAGUGUAGCGGUGAAAUGCGUAGAGAUUGGGAGGAACACCAGUGGCGAAGGCGACUUACUGGACUGUAACUGACGCUGAGGCGCGAAAGUGUGGGGAGCAAACAGGAUUAGAUACCCUGGUAGUCCACGCGGUAAACGAUGAAUGCUAGGUGCUGCGGGUAUCGACCCCUGCAGUGCCGGAGUAAACACAAUAAGCAUUCCGCCUGGGGAGUACGGCCGCAAGGUUGAAACUCAAAUGAAUUGACGGGG
This 397-nucleotide ribosomal RNA is filed under the name uncultured bacterium. RNAcentral describes it as "partial 16S ribosomal RNA". It matches the Rfam family "Bacterial small subunit ribosomal RNA", at positions 523 to 918 of the family's 1533-position model. The record is from RNAcentral.